Molecule: ribosomal RNA, 268 nt
Filed under: uncultured bacterium
Lineage: Bacteria
Description: partial 16S ribosomal RNA
Rfam family: Bacterial small subunit ribosomal RNA
Source: RNAcentral
CGGAGCCUACGGGGGGCAGCAGUGGGGAAUAUUGCACAAUGGGGGAAACCCUGAUGCAGCAACGCCGCGUGAGUGAAGAAGUAUUUCGGUAUGUAAAGCUCUAUCAGCAGGGAAGAAAAUGACAGUACCUGACUAAGAAGCCCCGGCUAACUACGUGCCAGCAGCCGCGGUAAUACGUAGGGGGCAAGCGUUAUCCGGAUUUACUGGGUGUAAAGGGAGCGUAGACGGCGGCGCAAGUCAGCAGUGAAAGCACGUGGGUCAACCGCGG